UUGUGCUGUCUCUCACAAGAUAGCAUCAAUGAGGUGUUAGUAGAUAUUGUGGACAGUAGAGGAGUAACCAGUUGAACAGAAUUGCAGCACAGACUCACAGAAGGCUGGUGGAUGGAAGGCUGCCAGAUUCCACCUUUUCUGUGCUUCUCAUGUAUGCUGUCAUUUUGUCUGAAGCUGUGUCCUAAAUGUUGUUAGGGUGGGCAAGGACAAAAUUGGAAGGGCCAGACCCUAGCGGAGAUCAAUCUAUCUAUUGCUGUCAGAGACAAUAAGAAAGGUUUUUAUAAUGAAAGGAGAGCAGAGGGGAAGGGAGGGGAGGGGAGGGGAGGGAAAAGAGAAUCUUCAUCCUUUAUUGGAUGUGGGAAAACAGAAUUAGAAGAGAUGUGGAAAAGGCUGAGGUACUUAAUGCAUUCUUUACCUCAGUGUUUAGCAGCAAGACCAGUUGUUCCCCUAGUACUCAGCCCUCUGAGCUGGUAGAUAAGGACCUUCAGCAGAAUGAAGCUCUCAUGAGGAAAUGUUGAGAAAACUGCUACUGCACUCAGAUGUGCACAAGUCUAGGGGGCUAGAUGGCAUCCACCCGUUGUUACUGAGGGAGCUGGCUGAAGUGCUCUCCAAGCUGCUUUCCAUCACUGACCAGCAGUCCUGGCUAUCAGGGGAGGUCCCAGUCACCCGGUGACUAGCAAACGUGACGUCUGUCUACAAGAAGGGCCGGAAGGAGGAUCCGGGGAACUACAGGCCUGUCAGUCUGAUCUUGGUGCUGGGGAAGCUCAUGGAGCAGAUUGUCUUGAGUACCAUCACGCAACGCUUCCAGGACAAGCAGUUCUCUCCUUCAUUGCAUUGGAUAAAUAGAUCUGUAGUGCUGAGCUGCCUCCUGGGUCAAACCACUGCAAGUCUUUUUGGUGCCUAGCAUGGAGCACAAAGGUUGAGAUGACAAAUCGGACCAGAGCAUUUUAAAAGUAAAUUGUUAUAAGCAAUAGAUCAGUUUAACAGUUGCUUUAACAGUUGCUGAUCACAAUGUUGAUCUUUUUGAUCUUGGGGCUGUUGUGCUUGUUUUCAGAAUUGUGUUGUAUAGCACAUCACUAACUGUCUGUCUUCCAUGUCAUGCUGUUCAUCAAUUCUGGGGGCUGGUUUAAGGUUACUGUUUUGAUGUAUGGGAUAACACUGACUUAUGACAGGAUAAAAUUAUUGCCACCUCUGUACCUCGGGAACCAUCUCUUCAUCUCUUAGAAACUAUUAAUAGUUACAUUAUUUUACACUUUUUGCCUUUUCUCCUGUGCAGGGUGGGGCAGGAGGUGGGGGGAUGGAACUGGUGUGGACAGUGGGGGACGUUUCUCCCCACUUCUUCACUCUCCCUUUCUUCUUCUCCUCCGGGCUAAUUACAAUAGCUCUUGAAAGCUUUGAAUAUCCGUGGGAUGGCCGAACCAGCAUGUUUCUGUUGUCCCAUCUCCUAAAUGUGAUUCAGGUUUUGUAUAAUUUUAAACAACUACUUAAGCAUGCCAUCCAGAGAUCUUUCCAGAGGCAGGAGAGUUAGGAGUGGCAGGGACUGUGUGAGGAUAUGGGCAGGAACCUAGAGCAGUGGGCACCUCCAGUGCUUUGGAGCUUCACCUCUGAGAAUGUGCAGAAUCCUAGAAAAAACUGUGAAAUGCUUGAAAACUGCGUGUGAUCACCCUGGCAUUUCCAAAGAGACACAAAUUACUGGAAUGUGCUGGGGCUUGACCUGUGCUUAACAAGCCACAGGCAACACGUCUCCGACCCCUGGGACUUUUCCUGCAGGCACACGCCAGUCCCUGUGGCAGGCCCAUCAGCCACUCCAACUUCUCCUGGACAGAUGCUCCAUUCUGUCAGUUGUUAAUUUCUGUAGGCAGAUGACUCACCCUGAUUGUGCUGUCUCUCACAAGAUAACAGCAACAGGAGUUGCAGGACGCUUUAGAGAAUACGGCAGUAAGCAGUUGAACGGAAUUACAGCAUAGACUCAGGUAAGGGCAGGGGAUGUAAGGCUGCCACGUUCCACCUUUUCUGUGCUUUUUUUCCAUCCAUUUUUUCGUUUGGUGUGGAGCUCAGUCCUCCAUGUCUUGAAGCUGUGCAGGGACAAAAUCAGAAUGGCCAAAUCCUAACUGGAGCUCUAUCUGACUAUUACUAACAAAAAGAGUAAUUAUAUAUAUAUAUAUAUAUAUAUAUA
This is a long non-coding RNA of Anas platyrhynchos (mallard), 2176 nucleotides long. RefSeq lists it as uncharacterized. Lineage: Eukaryota; Metazoa; Chordata; Aves; Anseriformes; Anatidae. The record is from RefSeq and is a predicted model, not a curated record.